AAACCGAUGGCUAAGGCACCUCCUGCUAGCUCCAAGCUCCCUAGCCUUCCCAUGCACGCUACUGAAAUCAUGUUUUUUAGGUACGUUAAUAUACCCAUAACCAAUAUGGGAAAUCCAAUGUCGAGUACAUUCUUGAGUUCCUCCACCACCUGGCAAUAAAAAAAAAUAAUUUGUCAGAGUUAAGACACAAGACGAAAUACUCUGAAAUUUUUGAAGAUUUUCUUGUUCUUACCUCUAUCAUUGUCAGGUUCUUUUUGGUAUGCCCUGCUGCCAUCUUUUUUUCUUUUUCCUAUUUGCUUUUUUUUUUCUUUUUUUUUUCUCCACUCUUUGUUUUGUUGCGUUUUAUGUGACAGGUAUGAUCUUACAGGUCACACACUUCAACAUGCAUCUUCGCUCCCUGCACUGAAGUAGAGUGAGAGUGGCAAUUUACAGGACAGGAGGGAGAUUUAUAGUGGCCGGAUGUGGUUGGUUCUCAAAUUUGAAUUUAUAUUUUUUUUUCUUUAAUCUUUUGAUUGGACAAUUUUUUUAAUUUUAAGAUGAGAAAUUAUAGUGAUUUUAUGCUCUAACCUCUUACAAUUUAAGGCUUCUCAAACUUUAAUUUGUCAUUUUGCCAAAUAUAAGAGAACAUAUCUACUUUCUCUACUGUGAGAAUCUUGCAGAAAGUAACACUACCUAAAUCUAUGAUUUAUUUCCACAUGGAUGUUUUAUAUGUUUGUAGCUCUUUUAUCUCCACUACCUUGGCCAAUUUCUGCUGGCCGAAUUAGUUUUAAUAUUUGCAUGAGCUGUUUUAUCUUAUGCUCAGGGUUAUUUUCCGAUUAACACGUUUCACCUCAAAUCUAUGAUUUCAUUCUUCCUUGACGGUUGUUAGCGGAAAGGUUGCCCAAAUUUGAUUUUGCACUAUUUUUCUUCAACUGUUUUUAAUUUGAUUGUUUUUAGUUGCCGAAGUGCUCGUUUAUUUUACUGUUUACCAUUUACCGGUUACCUUAAUGGCUGAUAUAUCAAGUCGUUUUAUAACCGUGAUGGCUGAUAUCUAUCUGAUAGAAAAAUAUCUUUGUCAUGCCUUUGUCAAGUUGCCUUAAAUAAUCUAUUUAUAGUGAUGGAAAGGAGUGGUUCGGGUCUAUGUCACAUUUUAGCUAGUGUUUCAGCAAAACGGAGACCCUUGAUUGUAUGCUUACCUGAGAGUAUGUGUCCAAGAACCUUGGGGAAACCUUCUUUCUAGUCAACUCUAGCACGUACCUUCUCCAGUAAAAUUUCUGCAAGAAGCCUUCUUUCCGUAAAUGUUGUUUGUUUCUUCUUUUGCUAGUUAGGUUCAGUUUAUGAAAGCACACACACACACACGCGCACACACACACACACAACUAGACGCUAUUUGCCUCUCACCCACUUUUGCAUCAUCUAUUACCGUACCUUAUGCAGUGAAAAACAUUUGGACAUGCUACCCUGGAGUUAGUUAUUUUUGGAGUUAUGUUUGCAAGUUGUCAUCGAAUACCAUUGUCUCUAUCAAGAUAUGCAUGUGAUAGGCCAUCAUCUAUGUGCAUCCAUGCAUGUUCAUAAAGGACUUUAUGUGCAUAUGUAUCACAUAAAUGUUUGUCGUUUCAUGUAUUCUGAAUUUUUUUUGGCAUUUUGUUAAAAAAAAAAGACUCCUGAUUGUGUUACUACAAAAAGCUAUCUGCAUGUUUCUGGCGUUUGCCAUUUUGUCUUGACAGUUUUCACGAUGAAAAAUUCAAUUUGUGACCAUGAAUUUCUUUCGUUCCCAUUUCUAAUGUCAAAAAUCAUCAUAUCCCCGAAAAAUCAUUAUCUUGAUUUUUAGUACCAGGUUACAUACGUCCGUGUUUGUGAGUCAUUAGUUGAUGAGAAGUCUGAUGGAAAUAAUAUUGUCAUGCUCGUAUGGAACCAUGCAUGUGCAAUAUCUGUUGCACCAAACGAGUCUCUAAUCAAGCCGUCUUUGUAAUUAUUAUCCCGUAGGCAAAUUGUGUUUAAAGCAUUAACUUUUCUUCUCACCAUUCAAAGAUGGGAUAUUACACCUUCCACACUCAUAUCCCAACCCAAAGGCGGUACGGUUUGUAAGAAAAGAAAGUGCUAUCCUUAAAUUGUCACAUCUCUUUUGCUAUUUGCUGAAAUGAUUUAUUUUGGUCCCAAAAGUCUCAGGCAACGUAUCAAAUAACCAAAUAACCGACAUGCUUCAUAUUCGCCAUAGUAUUUUUUUUCCCACAUCAGUUGAUUGAGAAAAGGCCUCCUAACCUUACGGAACUUCUCUUACACAAACCGUUAUGAAAUUCUCUUCUUCAAACACGUAACUUUCUUGAUCUAUUGCAGUUAAUGUGCCUUCAAUUUGUGAAAAAUAAUUAUAAGUUUGCACUAACGAAUAACUAAUUUUCUGCAGGUUUAAGAUUAGACGAGGACAAAAAUACCUAGUUAGAUACUAAAAUGCUAUGAAGAGAUCUCGAGGAUCUUAGUGU
RNAcentral lists this long non-coding RNA (2459 nucleotides) under Erythranthe guttata (spotted monkey flower). RNAcentral describes it as "long non-coding RNA (EGUT_LNC001624)". The record is from RNAcentral. Lineage: Eukaryota; Viridiplantae; Streptophyta; Magnoliopsida; Lamiales; Phrymaceae.